CCCCAAGCUUACCUCUUGCUCGUCCCUGAGCAAGGAUAGACUCAGCUAUAGAUCAUAAGUUGUUGCAAUAUCUUUAAAAAUUGACGGUACACAUGCUUUUAAAUGAGGUCUCAUCUCUGAGUUAGAGUAAACUGUCAAGACUUAAAACUUACUUACUUUACCUUUCACCAUGGGACUUGUAACCGUCACUUCUGUCUUGAGUGGUUAAAAGAUAGAACAGUCCAGUCAAGUGCCAUGUCGCUUAUUCUUGAUCAGCUAUAGCUCUGGAGUUUUUGCAGAUUUUCAAAUAAAACUCAGAGAUUCCUUUGUAUGACUCUCUCAUAUCUCUCUUUUGUGGUAUUUCUGGAUCCUUACCAAUGCAGUGAUGGUAUAUGCCUUCUCUCAAAACAUGUGGUAUUUGUGGUAUAAGGCAUAGUGACAUUGCCUUCUCUCUCACCCUACUCUAAUAAGGCUUUAAUAUCUGGAGCUCAUAGGUGGGAGAUAAAGUAUACAUACUUACAAGACAUGUAUUGCAUAGUCAAACCAUGGAUCCAAAGAAAUAAAUCAAUAAGCCAAAUCAAGAUGUGCAUGUGUGGCGAAUGAAUAGUGUAUGGUGAUGAUGGUGAUAACAAUGGUGAAAGUCUAAUUCUACUUUUGCUCUUUUAAGGGGAUACAUACCUUCCUUGCUUUUUGAAACUUUAUGAGGAGAAUGAGAUGCUCUUCUUUUUCUUUUCUCUCAGAUGGGUAUCCUGUACCCCUAAUUCUACUGUCAGACACUUGUCCAUUUUUACCUCUCGUCUCACUCUUUUUCUUUUCUUUCGAGGUUCCGGGCACUUGCCCCUUUUUAUUUCCUCGUUUAUUUUUUUUCUUUUCUUUUUUUUCUUCUUUUUUUUCAGAGCACUCAUCUCUUGAGAUAAUAUAGCAAGUGGUAGUAGCAAGAUAACUUGAGCAUUUAUUUCACAAGGGAAAAACACAGAUGUUUUUGGCUAUUCUCUCCCGAAUUAGGAGUAGAAUAUUUUUAGGUGAUUCUGGAGAUGGAAAUGGAUGGAUAUAUAUGGAUGGUACUUCCGGAGUAGAAGUAGCAUAUAUAUGAGUGAACGUGCAAGUGAAUCUUGAUUUAACCACAUGACAAGCUCCUAAGGGUCUACACAGCUUGACCACACUCAAUGCUCAUAAGCAGUAAAUAAUAAAUGUGUGGCUCAAAGUCUAGCAAGCAUGUAUAUAUGGCUGUGGUAGGAAUUUAAACUUUCAUCAUACAGGAACUCAUCAUGCAACAUUUUAAAGAUUUUUCAAAGAUAAAAUUCUCCAGAAUUCUAGCAUCUCUAGGAACAGAUAAACAGCAGCUCAACCUUCCCAUAUCUUAUCCGUUAACAACUUAGAUUUUAGAUCAAGUUUUCAUCCCACAAGUUUAGAUCUAGAGCAAGCUUUAAAUUAUAACAGUUAUGUCUAAACUUGAGAGAGAACUUCAAAUUUGCAAAUUAGGCAGAGCAACUAUUCAUCAUAUCCAUGCUAGAGUUUUAUUAUUAAGAUUCAUAGCAAACUUUAUUUAUUUAUUUAUUUAUUUAUUUAGCAAACUAAGAAAAGUAUAUAUAUAUAAGCAUAAAAUCUUUAUUUGGUUUUUCAUAGUUUAUGUAUUUUAAUAUUCUAAUAUAAUAUAAGUAUAAAGAUAGGUAGAAAUACUUAGCGAGAUAAAUAGGGGUGCUCUCCCUCAAGCUGAAUUUUGACGUAAUUUCUCUUGAUGUAGCUAGCAGGUGGCAGAGGUGUAUUUGAAAGUCAGCAGCAUUCUGACAGCAAUUAGAAUAUCCUCUAUCUUUCGGCGAGGGUUCAAUGUUUUAAGUCUUCUUAACAAGACUUCUCACCGUGUUCAUUCUUCAGGUGCGUCAUUUGAUUCAGGUGCGGACCUUGACGUCUGCACCUCUUGAUACGGUGUCGCCCAUAUUCUUCGUUUGCCCAGCAGUUCGAAGUGCGGUGUUAGCAGUAUCUUGCUCAAUGUGUUUGUGCUCGUAGUGUACCUGCUCAUAGAGACAAGGCAGAGAUCAAGUGAACCAAAAGUGUAUUUGUUCUUCUCUAACCUUAAGCAUAGUGAGCAAGACAAGUUGAUGGAUGAUAAGUUCAUGAGUGUAGCACUUAUAACAUUUGUCAGAUCAGAUCGCUCAACCUUAUGGAAAGAUAAUCUAUCUAUGUAUAUGUCUUUUUAUUUAUAUCUCUCAAUGAUUGAAUGUGUAACAUUUUAGCUCAUAUGAUUAGGAGUGUGGGAUCAUGGAGGUAGUACUAAGAACAAGGAUUAAAGGACUAAACAUGUUGAAUCAGUUGGGUUGGUUAAUCUAGAGUUGUAAAUCAUACACGUUUGUCUCUUUUAUUUAUAUGAACGCCAGAACCAAGGAGAAGCUUAUAAAAGUGAUAGUCAAGUACCUUAGGAUGUUACCUUGCUUGAAAAGUGAUGGUACAGUAUCACCUUGUGGAAGCUUUCCUUUCUUAGCGGUUGUGCAUCGUGUUCGUGGCACCCUCCAUGGAUCUUCACUUUAUGAUGAAUGAGCUAUGUCCUUCUUGUGCUAAUUGUUAAACUUCAUGUGUCACUUUCUUCGUCUCUGAUGUGAGUUUAUCUCAGGACUUCCCAAAUCGAUAUUGAAAGUUUUUCUGCAGGGGUUAGUCCAACAAAAUAUACCAAUAUCUACUCAAGCAGUUUUUAGUUCAAUAACCAAACUAGACUCCUUGUCUAAUCAGAUUAAGGAAGGCUAUUUAACCUAAGCACCAUGCUUAAUUUAAAUGCCAAUGGAAGUAUGGCGAGUACUUCCAAACCAACACUUGCUAGUAAAUAGACAACGGUAGCAUGACAGCGUUUAUAGAGAUCUACUCAAGUGGAGAUGAAGUAGUGUGAUUAGUAUUUAACAAAUUGAGCAUGUCUCAAAGGUAGGGACAACCAGCAUAGCAACAUGGCAAAGGAUGUUUUUAUGUAAAGUACUCCCCCAAGCUUGAAUUUUGCAAAAAUUCAAGUUUGGAUGAAUUUAAUUCAAUGUUGUAUGAUGAUUGGUUGGACAUACCUUGUGCUUGUCAUUCAUCCGAUCUUCUUGCUCCAAUCUUAGAAAGGUUAGUGACAAGAAUACCCGAAGGAAUAUAUUUUUUUUACAAUUAUCCUUAUAUGCUCAAUACACAAGGUAAUGUUGCAAAUAAUUAAAGGCUCAUGUUACGAUCUGAUCAAUGCUUAUUUUAAGACACUAAGCUUGUCCUUGGGAAACCAUCAGUUUAUGUUGGCGAAGUGGUUUCCCCUCCGACGCCAACCUAUAUCUAGAUCAACUCAACGAGAUCUGCAAUAUUUAUUAUAGACAUAUGCAUCGACAACCGCCCUUUUAAAGUUUUUAUAAAUAGAAAGGAAGAGGGGGUUGGAGAUCUCAAGUGUGGUGAUGUCGGAGAGACCAAUAGAUUGGGAAGAUGUUGCAUAUGAGCAUGGAGUAAACGAAGUGGCUAUGAAAUAAAUUCCAUGCUCAUUAAUGUUAUCUUCGUCUCUAAUCUGAAUGUUCGGAGUUUCUCCUGGAUUGGUCUCACCUAUGUCCUGUUCUGUAGUUGGAUGAAUCUCAUCUUCAAAGGGAGUCAAGAACUCACCAUUUGAAAUUGAGCCAAAGUCAGAACCUAUUAAGGCUUCUUUCUUAUCCAUCCAUUCUACACAUUCUAGCCAUUUAGAACUUGUGAUCAAAAUAGGGGAGGUGUUAGAAUUUUCUAUAUGGCUUAGCUCUCCUUCUAUGGCAUUACUUGACAUGCCAUCCUUAUGGUCUUCAUGACUCCUAUGGUUUGGUCGUCUUGGUGAAUUGCUAGGAUCAUCAUGAGAGUGAAAAGAAGAGGGAUAAGAGGGAUCUCUAAGGUCAAGGAUGGAUUUAGAACUUGUGAACAUGGAAGGGGAGUAGAUAGAAUUGUCUAUAUGGCUUAGCUCUCCUUCACUUGAUAUGUCAUCCUCGACUUCUUCAUGAUAGGAACCAGGACAUUCUCUAAGAGAAACAUUAUUGCAAUGAUUUGAAUUAUCCCUGCUUGAAGGUCUCUUAUAGAACUAGAAGUCUAAACCAUCAGCAUUUAAAAGAUUUAAGGUCGGAAUUCCUUCCUCCCUUGGAGAAUUUUGGGGUAUUGAUGGUUUAGAAUCGAUAGCUAAAGUUUGGGAUUGAAGUGGUUGUGAUCUGGCUAUCAAAACUUCUUCUUCUUGUCUAGGAACUGGUUCUUUCUCUUUCUCAGGGAUAUAAAAGCUAGGAGACUUUCCGCUCAUUAAAUCAAUCAAAUUCCAAGCUUCACUAGCGGAUAUGUGGUGGAAAGAUCCUCCAGAGGCCGCAUGAAGGGUUUGCCUAUUUUUCCUACUAAGGCCCUCAAAAAAGUGAAUUAGAAGAACUUCUUCUGGAAUAGAAAGUUUUGGGCCAGUGAGAGUAAGGUUAAUAAAGCGGUCCCAUGAUUUGCCAAGAGAUUCUUCUUCCAGUUGUCUAAAAGAAAGAAUCUCACGCCGAAGUUCCACCACUUUGGAGAUUGGAAAAUAUUUAGAUAGAAAACUACUAUAUAACUCCUUCCAAUCUCCAUGAACACUCCCUACUUUAAGUUUAUACCAAUGUCUAGCUUUUCCCGUUAAAGAGAACGGAAAGAGCUUCCAUUUAAGGGUCUCAUCGGACAUGCCUUCUAUGCGAAGGAGGUCACAGACUCGAUAAAACUCUCUAAGGUGUGUGUAUGGGUUUUCCUCACCUUCUCCUGAGAAAGGUUGUUUUUGAAUAAAUUCUAUGUAUUCGGGGUCUAUCUCAAAACUAGAUGCUAUGAUAGGCUUUGAAGAUUUUGGUGGUUCGAGAUGUGUGCCCAUAGGUCUAUGAAAUUCAUAGAUAGACAUGUUUGAAUUCAUGAUAGACCAGAGAUCAAGGAUUAGAUAAGAAGAAAGAUUAGCAGAGAUGAGGCAAAGGAUAAAAGGAAAAUAUUUUUUUUAUUAUUUUUUUUAAAAAAAUGAUUAAGCUAGUUCGUAGUCAACUCAGCAACCGUUUCCCCGGCAACGGUGCCAAAAAUGCUUGUUGACACUUGCUAACACCACUUGAAUACUAGGUUGUCAUCCCCAGCAUGGCACUAGAGUGUACUAUGGUAUUUAUACGCACACAGAUAAUCCGCAAGCGCACGGAUACCGUUGAAGCUUUUACCCGGUUAAAGGUUUUAUCGUAUCCACAGGGAAACGGGAGAACCAACUACGCUCUAACUUAACCAAGAUAGAUAGAUAGGUGUAAAUAGGAAAGAUGAUAGAAUCGAAUAAGAACAAUAUUAAAGGUAAGAUAACAGUGAGUGAUAAUAUGGGAAUAGAGAAUAGAGCAAUUCUAGUAUAUGGGCGAUGGUAGCAGAAUAGAGAGGAUAACUAUGGUUUCUCUACUUCAAAGGGGUAUGUCUAUGUCUGGGACGAACCACGUGAUAAGAGUACACCACAAAGGAUGCUUAUCCAUAGGCCGAUAAACCCUACCCGUCCUGCUAACGAGAGGUGGACUACAGGGGACCAACGUAACUGUCACCUACGCGGCCUACCACAUGAUCUAGCUAGUCGGGGGAUAUCCACAAGUAAUCUAGGUCUAAGCACCACGCUUACACCUAUACUACAACUCUAACCUAUAGGGUCCUAUAGAUUAGAAGUACUCAAAAGAGUUGUGAACCAGAACAUACAUGAUUAGUAAUUGCAUAAUGAAUUAGAAGUAGAUUACCAGAGUCAUCCCAUGAGCAAGCUUGAUUAGAGCUUGAUCAUGGCGAAGUACAACCGGAGGAAGAACAGACAGGCCGGCCUCUCCUCUAAUCCUCCUUCGCUCUCCACCUCGCUACUAUCUAGAUCUACUCUAGUUUAGAGAAGAGAGGAGAGCUCUCAUCUCUAAACCCUAGCUUUUGCUCUGUCUAUGAAUAAUGAAUAAUGAUCAAGGGGUUGUCUCCUCCAGGGGCCAGGGGGUCUGGUUUUAUAGUCCCCUCAAGUGAACCUGGGCCGUCGGAUCAAACCGACAUUGAUUGAACGGUUAUUCUUGAUCCUUUAGGUCGGUGGAGCAUAAUCCGCGAGAUUGAGCGUGAUUGGCCACAGGAGGUGGGCGGGCACCCAGUAGGACAGGGCGGGCACCCUGUCUCUGGCCCCGAUUCGCCUCCGCUUCGGUCUCGUGGCUUCUGGAGUCUUCUAGAUGUAAGAUAAUUGCGCGGCACGUUAAUAUCUUUACGUAAUCCCGACGUGUGGGCCUUUCUUCCUUAUUUCCUGAUAACCCCCUGCAGAAAUAGACAAACACCAAAACUCGUAGAAUUCUGUCAAAUAAAACCCUAAGUCUAGAUGUUGAUUUCAUUUGGAUCCUUUUCUUUGUUUAUUUGAUAAUUAAAUUUGAUACUUAAGGACCGUCAACAAACUCCCCCAAGCUUACCUCUUGCUCGUCCCUGAGCAAGGAUAGACUCAGCUAUAGAUCAUAAGUUGUUGCAAUAUCUUUAAUAAUUGACGGUACACAUGCUUUUACAUGAGGUCUCAUCUCUGAGUUAGAGUAAACUGUCAAGACUUAAAACUUACUUACUUUACCUUUCACCAUGGGACUUGUAACCGUCACUUCUGUCUUGAGUGGUUAAAAGCUAGAACAGUCCAGUCAAGUGCCAUGUCGCUUAUUCUUGAUCAGCUAUAGCUCUGGAGUUUUUGCAGAUUUUCAAAUAAAACUCAGAGAUUCCUUUGUAUGACUCUCUCAUAUCUCUCUUUUGUGGUAUUUCUGGAUCCUUACCAAGGCAGUGAUGGUAUAUGCCUUCUCUCAAAACAUGUGGUAUUUGUGGUAUAAGGCAUAGUGACAUUGCCUUCUCUCUCACCCUACUCUAAUAAGGCUUUAAUAUCUGGAGCUCAUAGGUGGGAGAUAAAGUAUACAUACUUACAAGACAUGUAUUGCAUAGUCAAACCAUGGAUCCAAAGAAACAAAUCAAUAAGCCAAAUCAAGAUGUGCAUGUGUGGCGAAUGAAUAGUGUAUGGUGAUGAUGGUGAUAACAAUGGUGAAAGUCUAAUUCUACUUUUGCUCUUUUGAGGGGAUACAUACCUUCCUUGCUUUUUGAAACUUUAUGAGAAGAAUGAGAUGCUAUUCUUUUUCUUUUCUCUCACAUGGGUAUCCUGUACCCCUAAUUCUACUGUCGGACACUUGUCCAUUUUUACCUCUCGUCUCACUCUUUUUCUUUUCUUUCGAGGUUCCGGGCACUUGCCCCUUUUUAUUUCCUCGUUUAUUUUUUUUUUCUUUUCUUUUUUUCUUCUUCUUUUUUUUCAGAGCACUCAUCUCUUGAGAUAAUAUAGCAAGUGGUAGUAGCAAGAUAACUUGAGCAUUUAUUUCACAAGGGAAAAACACAGAUGUUUUUGGCUAUUCUCUCCCGAAUUAGGAGUACAAUAUUUUUAGGUGAUUCUGGAGAUGGAAAUGGAUGGAUAUAUAUGGAUGGUACUUUCGGAGUAGAAGUAGCAUAUAUAUGAGUGAACGUGCAAGUGAAUCUUGAUUUAACCACAUGACAAGCUCCUAAGGGUCUACACAGCUUGACCACACUCAAUGCUCAUAAGCAGUAAAUAAUAAAUGUGUGGCUCAAAGUCUAGCAAGCAUGUAUAUAUGGCUGUGGUAGGAAUUUAAACUUUCAUCAUACAGGAACUCAUCAUGCAACAUUUUAAAGAUUUUUCAAAGAUAAAAUUCUCCAGAAUUCUAGCAUCUCUAGGAACAGAUAAACAGCAGCUCAACCUUCCCAUAUCUUAUCCGUUAACAACUUAGAUUUUAGAUCAAGUUUUCAUCCCACAAGUUUAGAUCUAGAGCAAGCUUUAAAUUAUAACAUCUAUGUCUAAACUUGAGAGAGAACUUCAAAUUUGCAAAUUAGGCAGAGCAACUAUUCAUCAUAUCCAUGCUAGAGUUUUAUUAUUAAGAUUCAUAGCAAACUUUAUUUAUUUAUUUAUUUAUUUAGCAAACUAAGAAAAGUAUAUAUAUAUAAGCAUAAAAUCUUUAUUUGGUUUUUCAUAGUUUAUGUAUUUUAAUAUUCUAAUAUAAUAUAAGUAUAAAGGUAGGUAUAAAUACUUAGCGAGAUAAAUAGGGGUGCUCUCCCUCAAGCUGAAUUUUGACGUAAUUUCUCUUGAUGUAGCUAGCAGGUGGCAGAGGGGUAUUUGAAAGUCAGCAGCAUUCUGACAGCAAUUAGAAUAUCCUCUAUCUUUCGGCGAGGGUUCAAUGUUUUAAGUCUUCUUAACAAGACUUCUCACCGUGUUCAUUCUUCAGGUGCGUCAUUUGAUUCAGGUGCGGACCUUGACGUCUGCACCUCUUGAUACGGUGUCACCCAUAUUCUUCGUUUGCCCAGCAGUUCGAAGUGCGGUGUUAGCAGUAUCUUGCUCAAUGUGUUUGUGCCCGUAGUGUACCUGCUCAUAGAGACAAGGCAGAGAUCAAGUGAACCAAAAGUGUAUUUGUUCUUCUCUAACCUUAAGCAUAGUGAGCAAGACAAGUUGAUGGAUGAUAAGUUCAUGAGUGUAGCACUUAUAACAUUUGUCAGAUCAGAUCGCUCAACCUUAUGGAAAGAUAAUAUAUCUAUGUAUAGGUCUUUUUAUUUAUAUCUCUCAAUGAUUGAAUGUGUAACAUUUUAGCUCAUAUGAUUAGGAGUGUGGGAUCAUGGAGGUAGUACUAAGAACAAGGAUUAAAGGACUAAACAUGUUGAAUCAGUUGGGUUGGUUAAUCUAGAGUUGUAAAUCAUACACGUUUGUCUCUUUUAUUUAUAUGAACGCCAGAACCAAGG
RNAcentral lists this long non-coding RNA (8709 nucleotides) under Sorghum bicolor (sorghum). RNAcentral describes it as "long non-coding RNA (SBIC_LNC000831)". Lineage: Eukaryota; Viridiplantae; Streptophyta; Magnoliopsida; Poales; Poaceae. The record is from RNAcentral.